AUUGAACGCUGGCGGCAGGCCUAACACAUGCAAGUCGAGCGAGCGGCGGACGGGUGAGUAAUGUAUGGGGAUCUGCCUGAUGGAGGGGGAUAACUACUGUAAACGGUAGCUAAUACCGCCUACCAUCAUAUGUACCCCUAUGUGAUUGGCUUUUAGGUGAGGUAACGGCUCACCAAGGCGACGAUCCCUAGCUGGUCUGAGAGGAUGAUCAGCAACACUGGGACUGAGAAACGGCCCAGACUCCUACGUGAGGCAGCAGUGGGGAAUAUUGGGCAAUGGACGAAAGCCUGAUCGAGCCAUGCCGCGUGAGUGAAGAAGGUUUUCGGAUUGUAAAGCUCUGUCGUCAGGGAAGCGGUACCCAAAGAGAAAGCAACGGCUAACUCCGUGCCAGCAGCCGCGGUAAUUC
RNAcentral lists this ribosomal RNA (406 nucleotides) under uncultured bacterium. Its description in RNAcentral is "partial 16S ribosomal RNA". It matches the Rfam family "Bacterial small subunit ribosomal RNA", at positions 30 to 526 of the family's 1533-position model. The record is from RNAcentral.